RNAcentral lists this long non-coding RNA (4780 nucleotides) under Ursus thibetanus thibetanus. Its description in RNAcentral is "lncRNA (ENSUTTG00000002840.1)". The record is from RNAcentral. Lineage: Eukaryota; Metazoa; Chordata; Mammalia; Carnivora; Ursidae.
AAUGAAGGGCAAUGACCCUGGGUGCAACCCAAGACUGCAAGGUCAUGGCCAAUAUGAGGAAGUGGAUACAUUUCAACUUUUCUCUAGACACUCAAAUUUUUCCAUUCCAUUCUGUCCUGUUUUGGUUUUUUUUUCCCCAUGUGAGAGGGAUGUGGGGGUUGAAUUUGGAGAGGAAUACUUUCUGAGUAGUAUUUUAUGCCUGUGUUAACUUACUAAAGCCAAUACCACACUAAUAACACCGGAGCUCAAUGGAUCAUUAAUAAUUUUUCCUAGUCUCAGAAUGCCAGAGAACAAAAAGAGAGAAGGAUUCUUCUCCAGACCAACGAGUAAGGAUGGAAUUUGUGACCAGUACAAUGAAAUAAUGUUACCUAUCCAUCAUGAGUGUUGACAUGACUGGGAGGAAAAUACAUGGGGAUUUUCUUGGGCCCAAGAAACCUAUUUGAGAAGACGAUCACUGCUCUACCUUUGUUUCAACUGAAGAAUCACCUUUGGCAGAUAUGUGAACUAUCGAUGCUUGUACCCCAAGGGACAGUGAGAUUUUGUACUGCUGCCAUUCGUUUCUCAAGACACUGGAUUCCCACCAAUUUCAAAUUCUAUAAUUUUGUCUCUUUUGGAUAUGAAUUUAUCUAUACAUUUCUACAUAUUUCUCUGCACAAAGGCAAUGCCCACAUGUUGACCUGUAAUAAUUUCAUUAGUCUAUUUCUUGAGUCUUGUGAACAAGUCAUAUGAAUUCAGAUUUCAUGCCUCCAAAUGUCCCCCCUGACUCUGAAUUGACCCUGGGAAGGUUGGAAAACCAUCUGUUUUGAGACUUCAAAUAGCAAGAGUGAGAGGUAGAGUUGAGAGGUAAAGUGGUAAGGAAACAAAGAAAUAAAUCUGCUUGAAAAUCAUGUAAAGAACUUCGAGUACAAUGAUUGUCAAAUGGAAAUGCCUAGGAACAAAGAGUUCAGAAUCCCACUAAAGUUUUUAGAAAAAUGUAUUAUCUAAAUGACCAAGAGUCCAAAUGAAAAAAAUAACAGCUUAAUUGAUCCAGACUUAAGAGUUCCCACGGGCCCCUACACACUCGCUAGUAAGAGGCGGGUUUUAAAGGGAUAGAGCCACCAAUAGCCAUUUCAGAUAUGACCAAGGAGAAGAUGGAUAAGCAACAUCCUCUCAGAGGGCAAAGUGAAGAGGCUCAAAUGAUGCCAGAUAAGAUAUUCCUUCCUAGAGAACAAAACAAAAGGCCAACCAAGAGCUUUCCCCUCCACCCCAAGUAGCCCUUAAAGUGAUUGCUGCCCAGGAUCCCAGCAUGGCCACAGACCUGUGACUUCUAAGGGUCUUCUUCCUUCCGUUUUCCCAGUAAGAAUGCUACUGAGUUUAUGCUGUAUAUAAGGGAUGAGGGUUGAGGGGAGGGAGGGAAGACUCAGUAUUGCAGUUUGUUGAGGAAAGGACCAAGAGGAGGGGCAACUGGGUGUCUCCGUCAGUUAAGCAUCAGACUCACGAUUUCUGCUCAGGUCAUGAUCUCAUGGGUCACAGGAUGGAGCCCCAAGAUAGGAUCCAUGCUUAGUGGAGAAUCUGCUUGAGAUUUUCUCCCUCUCUCCCUCCCCCCACUCUCUCUCUCUCUCUAAAAUAAAUAAAUCCAAAAAAAAAGAAAAAAGAAAAAAGUAAAGGACCAAGAGGAGGUGUAUCUGAGCUUGAUGGAGAGGACGACAGGGCUCUGAGGUACUGAGCUUUAAGGUGAAUGCAGUGACUGCUUGAGUUUCCUGUUGUCUCCCUUGAGAACGGUAUGUGCAUAGAGGUAGAAACCAUCUGAUCUUCUAUGUUUGGAAGACAGACAAUGGCAGGCACGUGUACACCCACCCACACAUGUUAUGUAUUUCUCAGCCCCUCUUCAGACAUGCACUUUAUUUAAAAAGUUGUAUCACCUCUUGAGAGAGAAAGCAAGUCUGUGUCCAUGUGGAUGGAAUUGAUGUAUGCUGCUUCUAAAUAUUUUUUUUAAGAUUUUAUUCAUUUAUUUGAGAGAGAGUGAGGAGGGAGAGGGAGGGGGAGAGAGAAUUUGAAGCAGACUCCACACUGAGCACAGAGCCCAACGUGGGGCUCAAUUCCACAACCACAAAUCACGACCUGAGCCAAAACCAAGAGUCGGAUGCUCAAGUGACUGAGCCACCCAGGCACCCCUGAUGUGUACUGCUUCUAGACCUAACCCCCAAAAUGUCUCUUGAAUACUCUUUCCUUUAUCUAUAUGACUAGGACCAAAGAAUUCUGAGACAUAGUCACACUGACAGAGGUGGAAUUCUUGAGUGACUGCUUUCAAGACAGUCAUUAAACCAGCUUCAGACUGCAAUGUAAAAUAAACCAAAAUUUUUCUCUAGCUAUACAAUCUGCUUUGUAUUAUUCCGGGUAAAUACCAUUAGCUUUGAGGGGGAAGCUAAAUCCAUGGAUGAUAUACUGAUACUAGUUGGGACAGGCUCAAGAUAUGUAGGCGGCCAACUCAAGAUCCCGGACUGCUGAGCUGGGGAAGACAACAGAGAAGCAAGGCAACCAAGGGAGAUGCUACUAAAUUCUAGAAACUAAAGGAUUUAAAAAGACGCAUUAGGGGUGCCCUGGGAGGAAUUCCAACCAGAAUUUGACCAUACGAUGAUGGGAGUAGAAAUUUUCAAAGACAUAAAAAUAAAGAAGAGUUGUUGAAAUUUCUUAAGUGUCCUCUCUUGAGGAUUGUUUGUGGUUUAAAAGCUACAAAUUCAUCAGUUUGGGCCCAUGGCAGCUUGUAUGGCUUACGAUAAGUCUUUUACCGCAGAGUGUGCCAAAUAUACUAAUACGGCAAGAGUUGAAAUUUGCACACUAUAACUCAGAUGUACAAAAAAUGCUCUUUUAAAAUCCAAAGAUGAUGUCAUCUGUCUCAAGUUUCCAUUUCUACUCAAUAGAUAAAAAAAUCUUUUAAAUACUUUCAAGGGAGCCUGGUCCUUUCAGGUUCAAUAGUUUCUUUUGGGUAUUAGUAACUCAAAUUUGUCAUAUAUAAACUGCCUGAUUUUUUAAUUUUUCCCUUCCUCGUUCUUCCUGCUUCCCUCCCAAGGGAACCUAAGGUCACAAGGAGUUAAGCUACCUUCUCCUACAAUCAAGUCUGAAUUAGUUACUGAGAAUUUUCUCCCCAGAUCUGUUGCGAUGUGCUUGGCAUCAUCCGGCUCAUUUGGUCUCUGGGCAAGCAUCAGCUGCCGAAGUCCAUUGCCCCUCCGGUGCCCCGAGGCGCACUCUGCAGCCCCCUCAUACAAUCUGGUUCUUUUAAGCACUCCUAGGUCAGCCAGCAGGGCACAGGAAACUUCUGGGUUGCCUAGACACCAUACUCAGACUACUCUCUCAAUCCCACUUACCUAGACAUUUGCCUCAAGCAAUUUUAAUUUAUUACCCUGUCUUGUCCUCAAACCGCACUGAAUAUAGUGCUUAGAAUUUCCCAAGGUAUAUCCAGAGGUCAACAGCAAACCUGCUUUUUCAAGGUUCUCCUGUACCAUGUCUCCUCCUCCAAGGGAAACCUCAAUUCUUAUCCUUGGCUCUUCCUUUCUUUCCCUCCAGCUCCACCUCCUAACAGGGAAAGGGAUUUCCAUUUCCCAUGCCAGUAAGAUAAGAAUUUCGCUGACCCAUUUUUAGAUGGAAGUGAGCUUCAGUCUCAGAAUAACUUGAGGGGUUACAGAAGAAAUUAGGUUUUGAACAAGGAGGGCUCACUCUCCCUGUAUGAAGUGGUCCCAUAGUGAACUCUCCAUGGUUCCAUAGUCAAUUUGGGGAACAAUCUCAACACUGGUAGUAUCUUUCUAAAGAAAAUAAAUACCAACUUUCCAAGGAAAACCGAUAUCUCCUACCCUCCACUAGGUGGAGUGAACAACUUGAAAAGUCCCAGUGCUGAGAUGCUACUCUGAGCAAACUCAGAAGCAAAGGUUUAGUAAUAGCGGUCAGACAGAGAGCUACCAUAAAAUUAAGACAGAUUAAAAUAGAACAUAGAGAAGAAACACCUAACAAAAUGGUCACAGAAAUUAUUUUCUUAUACAUCACAUUUAAGGGUAAUAAAUCCUUUCUGAGGAAAAAGAAACCCACUACAUACCCUUUCAUAACUUUGAAGGACUUAACAUUAUUUAUCUCAAUAUUUUUAUACGGUAUAGCGUAAGUCACUGUCAAAAUAUCUAGAAGUCCUUGAAAGGUCUAAAUUAAAUCCUCCCCUUUAAAUAUUUUUAUAGAUAAACACUUGAAUUGGGUGGAUAUUUCUGACUAUUAGAGUCAAGCUUCUGAUGGCCAGCAACAGCAAAAUGAGGUAAAUAGUCCCCUUCAACAAUGUUGUCUUAACCUAUAGUCCUUUUGAACCAUUUUGGCCUUAUUAGUCUUUCAUGAAGACACCUGUCUCAGGGCCUUUGCACAUGCUGCUCCUGUGGCCAGAAAUGCCCUACACCCUGCAUGUCACAAAAUUUACACUCUCCAUUCACUCAGGAUUCUUCUCAAAUAUUAGCCCAUCAGUCAAAUAUUUCUUGACCACAUUUUGUAAAAUUGAAACUCCCUUCACUCUGUACCCUCUGGUCUCCUUUUUCUUCAAAGCACCAAUCAUUACCUAAUAAAUAUUACAUAUUAGCUUAAUAUUAACAAAAUAAAUAGAUCUCCAUACUGAUUUUACCUACUAGAACAUAAGUUCCACAAAGGCAGAAACAUGGGUUUUCUUCUGCAUUCCUAGCAGACAAGACAUAUUUAUUGAAUACGUGAACUAGACUGUAUCUUCCUGCAUAUGCUACAUAUUACAAACACCUAUGAUUAAAAACUUGGAAAGUGU